CCCACCUUGCCCGGCUUUGUAUUCCUUGCCUAUAAAUAGAGCCGCCCCCACCCCACCCCCAAACCCUCUCCGGGCCUGGCGGGGGAUUUGCUGCGGCGUGUGGUUCCCCGACUGCAGUUCCUGUGCUAUUCCUGAAGAGACGCGAUUUCUGGUCCUUCACCCUCGCCUCGCUACCCGUUUAUGCUGACGAUGGUUAAACCAUGUGCUCCGGUCACAAAACAAGAAAACCAGAAUUUACCUCCAGGCCAAUGAAUAGCUACCAAGAAUCUCUCCCAGUCCUCCAGCCGAUGAACUGACUGCUUGGGGUCCGGUUGGACCUCCUCGCCCUGUUUGCAACUCCUCGUUCCGUAAGCACAGCCACCCCCUAUCCCUCAGAGCUGUCGCGUGUAGCUGCUCCAGUUUGCAUUUUCUGAAUUGCAGUUCCUCUGCUAUUCAAGAAUAAACUCAUUUUUCUGGUAAGUCAAACUUUCCUCAGUUUAACUCUUUAUUUAGGUUGACACUGGGAUCGUACCUGUAACAGAAGACUUCUAGAUAAAGAAAACAGGAUGAAGCCCUAUGUUUACUCUUGCUAUCAUUAGGUCCUACAGUAACAAUGUUUAAUUUGUACAUUUGAGCUGAAUUAUAGCGUUUUGAAUGCCAGUAUUGGACUCAUAAAAAAGCAGCUGUUCUUUUGAGCUAUUUAUUCCCUUAUUAACAAGAUUGCCUGAUUUUAUAUUAAAACUAUAUUUAUUUUAUUUCACUUUUACUGCCAAUGUAAAUUAAAUGGGUAUUUUUCUUUGCAUUUAUUUAAACUUUAUUUUUGAACACUUGUGCAUAAAAUAUUAUAAAACCCAGUUAACAUUAA
Canis lupus familiaris (dog) is the source of this 844-nucleotide long non-coding RNA. RefSeq lists it as uncharacterized. The record is from RefSeq and is a predicted model, not a curated record. Lineage: Eukaryota; Metazoa; Chordata; Mammalia; Carnivora; Canidae. The transcript is spliced from 2 exons.